Molecule: unclassified non-coding RNA, 253 nt
Filed under: uncultured Bacteroidota bacterium
Lineage: Bacteria; Pseudomonadati; Bacteroidota
Description: uncultured Bacteroidetes bacterium contains 16S-23S intergenic spacer region
Rfam family: Bacterial small subunit ribosomal RNA
Source: RNAcentral
UACGGAGGGUGCAAGCGUUGUCCGGAAUUAUUGGGUGUAAAGGGUGUGCAGGCGGAAGUCUAAGUCGGAGGUGAAAUCUUGCCGCUUAACGGCAAAAGGGCCUUCGAUACUGGAUUUCUUGAGUUCGGAAGAGGUUGGUGGAAUUCGACGUGUAGCGGUGAAAUGCUUAGAUAUGACAUAGAAUACCGAUUGCGAAGGCAGAUCACUAAUAAUGUAAUGACGCUGAUGGACGAAAGCGUAGGUAGCGAACAGG